CCGAAAGGCGUAGUCGAUGGGAAACAGGUUAAUAUUCCUGUACUUGGUGUUACUGCGAAGGGGGGACGGAGAAGGCUAUGUUGGCCGGGCGACGGUUGUCCCGGUUUAAGCGUGUAGGCUGGUUUUCCAGGCAAAUCCGGAAAAUCAAGGCUGAGGCGUGAUGACGAGGCACUACGGUGCUGAAGCAACAAAUGCCCUGCUUCCAGGAAAAGCCUCUAAGCAUCAGGUAACAUCAAAUCGUACCCCAAACCGACACAGGUGGUCAGGUAGAGAAUACCAAGGCGCUUGAGAGAACUCGGGUGAAGGAACUAGGCAAAAUGGUGCCGUAACUUCGGGAGAA
RNAcentral lists this ribosomal RNA (340 nucleotides) under Escherichia coli. Its description in RNAcentral is "partial 23S ribosomal RNA". It matches the Rfam family "Bacterial large subunit ribosomal RNA", at positions 1402 to 1744 of the family's 2925-position model. The record is from RNAcentral. Lineage: Bacteria; Pseudomonadati; Pseudomonadota; Gammaproteobacteria; Enterobacterales; Enterobacteriaceae.